GGAGGAAAAGAAACCAACAGGGAUUGCCCUAGUAACGGCGAGUGAAGCGGCAACAGCUCAAAUUUGAAAGCUGGCUUAGGCCCGCAUUGUAAUUUGCAGAGGAUGCUUCUGGCGAGGUGCCUUCCGAGUUCCCUGGAACGGGACGCCAUAGAGGGUGAGAGCCCCGUAUGGAUGGACACCAAACCUGUGUGAAGCUCCUUCAACGAGUCGAGUAGUUUGGGAAUGCUGCUCUAAAUGGGAGGUAAAUCUCUUCUAAAGCUAAAUACCGGCCAGAGACCGAUAGCGCACAAGUAGAGUGAUCGAAAGAUGAAAAGCACCUUGAAAAGGGGGUUAAACAGUACGUGAAAUUGUUGAAAGGGAAGCGCUUGUGACCAGACUUGCGCCGGGCAGCUCAUCAGGGGUUCUCCCCUGUGCACUCUGCCCGGCUCAGGCCAGCAUCGGUUCUCGUGGGAGGAUAAGAACGGUAGGAACGUGGCCCCCCUCCGGGGGGGUGUUAUAGCCUACCGUACGAUACUCCCGUGGGGACCGAGGUUCGCGCUCCGCAAGGAUGCUGGCGUAAUGGUCAUCAGCGACCCGUCU
RNAcentral lists this ribosomal RNA (579 nucleotides) under Cytospora populina. RNAcentral's name for it is "partial 28S ribosomal RNA". It matches the Rfam family "Eukaryotic large subunit ribosomal RNA", at positions 52 to 654 of the family's 3401-position model. The record is from RNAcentral. Lineage: Eukaryota; Fungi; Ascomycota; Sordariomycetes; Diaporthales; Cytosporaceae.